ACUCAAAUGAAUUGACGGGGGCCCGCACAAGCGGAGGAACAUGUGGUUUAAUUCGAUGAUACGCGAGGAACCUUACCCGGGAUUGAAAUGGAGUGGAAUAACCGUGAGAGCGGUUAGUCAGCUAUGACCACUUUGUAGGUGCUGCAUGGUUGUCGUCAGCUCGUGCCGUGAGGUGUCGGCUUAAGUGCCAUAACGAGCGCAACCCUGACUGUCAGUUGCUAACAGAUAAUGCUGAGGACUCUGGCGGGACUGCCGGCGUAAGCUGUGAGGAAGGUUGGGAUGACGUCAAAUCAGCACGGCCCUUACAUCCGGGGCGACACACGUGUUACAAUGGGGGGGACAAAGGGCAGCUACCGGGCGACCGGAUGCCAAUCUCCAAACCCUCUCUCAGUUCGGAUCGGAGUCUGCAACCCGACUCCGUGAAGCUGGAUUCGCUAGUAAUCGCGCAUCAGCCAUGGCGCGGUGAAUACGUUCCCGGGCCUUGUACACACCGCCCGU
Molecule: ribosomal RNA, 498 nt
Filed under: uncultured bacterium
Lineage: Bacteria
Description: bacterial SSU rRNA
Rfam family: Bacterial small subunit ribosomal RNA
Source: RNAcentral